CAGAGUGCUUUGUCCGAGCUCAAAAAAGCCGUUUCCACGGAAGCGGCCCUUCCGCUCGGAGCCCGGCGGCCUGGAGGGAGGCCCGGCGGGGAUGCGAGGAUUCCGCCCCAGCCCCAGAGGACGCGGCGGAGAGCCUGGAGGAGGCGCUUUGAGAGUCGAGGUCUCCCGCCCGCGCGCCUCCCUGGCGCAGACCUCUUUUAACUUUUUGGCGUGGAGUGCGCGUCCUGACGUGCCCCCUGAGCUACAGCUUACUGAGCUUUACUGGCUUCGCCGACAGCCGUCCCCAGGUGGAGAGACCGCGCGUCGCGCGCUGCCCGGGCCCCGCAGGGCCUGGCGCCUGGGGCCCUUGCGCCGCUUUGGGGCGAGGGAAUCACACCGCGGGCUCCCGGAGCUUGGCGUCUUCCACGCGGCGCUGUGUGUCAUCCACGCAGUGUGCUCUCGCUGCCGUGUUCAGGUCACUGCGAGGGUGAGCCCCGCUUUAUCUACCCCUUCUGCUGUUGAUGGGCACUCGUCUGGGGCUAGAAGGGAUAAGGUUGCUGUGAGCGUUCUCGUGUGUUUUUGGUGCACGCGCACACACAUUUCUCUGGGGUGCAGACCUGUCUAGUAGUGGAACUGCUGUUUCCCAGCACUUUGGAGCAAAGCCCUGUUGCAGUCUGAAGCGGAAAAGGCAGACGGGCCUUCCAUGUUCGUGAUUCCAGCCAGGCACAGAAGGGAAGGACAGGGACAGCAGCCGUACGGAGGCGAGGAGGGACACUGGGCGCUGCUGUCCCCUCUCCUCAGGGGCAGCCAGUCCUCUUGUGGACGCAGGUGUGGUCACCAGAAGGGAAGGACAGCAGAGGACUCUUCAGGGACCUUCCUGGAUCCCCCUGCAAUGGGAGUGGCCUACUUGCUUGACUUGAGGGUGAGACUUGGUCAGCCCUUGACUGUAGGGGGCAGGACCAUGGGCUUCAGUGGGGCAGCACCCAUGACCCACGCCUCUGCUUCCAUUCCCUGCUUGCUGCCCGGGCCUCUGGUCAGGGGAGUCUAGUCUCCCUUCCCAGGCUUCCAAUGCCUCGCCCCCUGCUGUGGUAAGGAUUCGCGCUGGUCCCUAUUUAUUAAUCAGGGAACUUGGGGUUCCAGUUUUCUCCCCUUCUCUGCAUCUCAUCCCCUUGAGAGCCCCCUGGAGCAGAGGAUAACGCACGAGGGGACUGGCUGUGUAUAUUUUGAUAACAAUAUCAAAAUACUGUCAAAUACUAAACGGAAAAGAAAUAGGAAAACAUUGAACUUUAUUAAAAUGAACUUCAAAAGACACCAUUAAGAGUAAAAAGAUGACUCACAAAAAAGUUGCCUUUUGUUCAGUAAACGACUCAGGACCAGAAAAUAUGAAGAACCCCUACAACAAGAAAAAUAUAGAUAGCUCAGUUAAAAAUUGACAAAAGUCUUGAAAAGAUAUUUCACAAAAGGAGAGAUCCAGACAGUCAAUCCACACACGAAAGGGUACUUAGCAUCAGGGAACUGCAAAUAGUGACAUUCGAUUCCAUAUCACAGCCACUGGAUGGCUAAAAUAGCAACGCCAAGUGCUGAUGAGACUGUGGAACAACCAGCUGGGCUCUCAUCCCCUGCUGAUGGGAGAGUGGAUUGGAGCAACCACGUGGAAACAUCUAAUGGAGCCUCUCCUGAGAUGGCAAACAGGAGGUCUGGAUCAAUCCUACAGUGUCGGCAAAUGUCUGGAUUACCCUGCAAGACCAGUGAGGAUCCUUCAGCCACUGGGGGAAAGGCUCUGCUGACACAGCAACAGCGAGCAGGGGGCGCCAGCCAGCCCGCUGGCCGUGCAGUGUUCCAGCGGCAGGCGUAGUUUUCUCCCACCUCUCAUGGACAUUGAGUGCACCUUGUGUAUGCUAUGGACAUGCCCAGCCGCUGGAGAUGGGAGGGGAGGGGGUAAGAAGGGAAGCCAUUGUGCCGGGACCCUGAGGCCAUUGAGGUGGGGUUUGGUGUCUCACCAAACGGAAGCCACAUUGUUCUGAAUUGCACCUCUGAUGGCUAGGCCAAAUGCUCAUUCUGUUUAACAUCAUUGCUGCAGUCUGUAGCAAAACCCUUAACGUUACAAAGGAAGAGAUAGAGCCACUUCAAACCGUGAAAGGAAAAGAGAUACCACAGUUAAGUCCGCCUGUCUUGGCCAACGGAGUUCAGUCUUUGGGCUUUCCAGCAACAAAAGAUGCCUUCAGUUGCCCCAGGGUUUUACUCCAGUCCCCGGCAACAGCUAGAUCUCCAUGAAGGGAAACAGCCAAUAUUUUUUUUACUUGCAGGAAAGGGAGGCAUGACAGCUCCACAUCUGUGUUCACCCUUGUGGAUCCCAGGUGAGACUCCAGAUGAAAUGGGAGAGUUCUCUGACCCCCUCACAGGACAUGUGACAGGAGUGUGGCUAGUCUGUUCAGCCUCCACCACUGCUGAAACACCUUAUGGGAGGGGGAGCAUGCAGAUGGGCAAGCGCAGGUGCCACGGCCACCGCUUUUGGGCUUCAACCCCAUGGUGGCAUCUAGGGGUGUGUGUCUGUGACUCCUGAAGCCCCAGUGUGUGUGCUCCAGUGCUCUUUUAGCUCUGCUGUCUGUCAGGCCUCUGAGCCCAAGCUAAGCCAUCAGAUCCCCUGUGACCUGCACGUAUACAUCCAGACGGCCUGAAGCAACUGAAGAACCACAAAAGAAGUGAAAAUAGCCAGUUCCUGCCUUAACUGAUGACAUUCCACCAUUGUGAUUUGUUCCUGCCCCACCCUAACUGAUCAAUUGGCCUUGUGACAUUCCUUCUCCUGGGCAACGAGUCUCAUGAUCUCCCCACCCUGCACCUUGUGAGCCCCGUCCCUGCCCACAAGAGAUAACCACCUUUAACUGUAAUUUUCCACUACCUACCCAAAUCAUAUAAAACUGUCCCACCCCUAUCUCCCUUUGCUGACUUCUUUUUCAGACUCAGUCUGCCUGCACCCAGGUGAUUAAAAAGUUUUAUUGCUCACACAAAGCCUGUUUGGUGGUCUCUUCACAUGGACUCGUGUAACAUUUGGUGCUGAAAAACCUGGGACAGGGGAUCUCCCUCAGGAGAUCAAUCCCCUGUCCUUGCCCUCUCUCCGUGAGGAGAUCCACCUAUGACGUCGGAUCCUCAGACCAGCCCAAGGAACAUCUCACCAAUUUUAAAUCGGGUAAGUGGCCUCUUUUUAUUCUCUUCUCCAAGCUUUCUUGCUAUCUCUCCACCCUUCAAUCUCUCCCUUCCUUAAUUUCAGUUCCUUUCCCUUUCUGGUAGAGACAGAGGAGACACAUUUUAUCCGUGAACUCAAAACUCCAGUGCCAGUCAUGGACUCGGGAAGACAGUCUUCCCUUGGUGUCUAAUCACUGCGGGGAUGCCUGCCUGAUUAUUCACCCAUAUUUCAGAGGUGUCUGAUCACCACGGGGAUGCCUGCCAUGAUCCUUCACCUUGGUGGCAAGUACCACCUCCCCUGGGUGGCAA
This is a long non-coding RNA of Pan troglodytes (chimpanzee), 3471 nucleotides long. RefSeq lists it as uncharacterized. The transcript has 3 exons. Lineage: Eukaryota; Metazoa; Chordata; Mammalia; Primates; Hominidae. The record is from RefSeq and is a predicted model, not a curated record.